Molecule: ribosomal RNA, 472 nt
Filed under: uncultured soil bacterium
Lineage: Bacteria
Description: bacterial SSU rRNA
Rfam family: Bacterial small subunit ribosomal RNA
Source: RNAcentral
AGGACGAACGCUGGCGGCGUGCUUAACACAUGCAAGUCGAACGGUAAGGCCCCUUCGGGGGUACACGAGUGGCGAACGGGUGAGUAACACGUGGGUAAUCUGCCCUGCACUUCGGGAUAAGCCUGGGAAACCGGGUCUAAUACCGGAUAUGAGCUCUCACCGCAUGGUGGGGGUUGGAAAGUUUUUCGGUGCAGGAUGAGUCCGCGGCCUAUCAGCUUGUUGGUGGGGUAUGGCCUACCAAGGCGACGACGGGUAGCCGGCCUGAGAGGGUGAUCGGCCACACUGGGACUGAGACACGGCCCAGACUCCUACGGGAGGCAGCAGUGGGGAAUAUUGCACAAUGGGCGGAAGCCUGAUGCAGCGACGCCGCGUGGGGGAUGACGGUCUUCGGAUUGUAAACUCCUUUCAGUAGGACGAAGCGAGAGUGACGGUACCUGCAGAAGAAGCACCGCAACUACGUGCCAGCAGCCGC